RNAcentral lists this ribosomal RNA (253 nucleotides) under uncultured bacterium. RNAcentral describes it as "partial 16S ribosomal RNA". It matches the Rfam family "Bacterial small subunit ribosomal RNA", at positions 524 to 776 of the family's 1533-position model. The record is from RNAcentral.
UACAGAGGUGGCAAGCGUUGUUCGGAAUUACUGGGCGUAAAGCGCACGUAGGCGGACUCUUAAGUCGGUGGUGAAAUCCUGGAGCUCAACUCCAGAACUGCCUUCGAUACUGAGAGUCUCGAGUCCGAGAGAGGUGAGUGGAACUGCGAGUGUAGAGGUGAAAUUCGUAGAUAUUCGCAAGAACACCAGUGGCGAAGGCGGCUCACUGGCUCGGUACUGACGCUGAGGUGCGAAAGCGUGGGGAGCAAACAGG